This 455-nucleotide unclassified non-coding RNA is filed under the name Hevea brasiliensis (rubber tree). Lineage: Eukaryota; Viridiplantae; Streptophyta; Magnoliopsida; Malpighiales; Euphorbiaceae. The record is from RNAcentral.
UCUACAGGGUUCAUUGCUAAAGAUAGCAGCAUUUCUGUUCAAGCAAGCCAAAGAAUGGGGAAUAGAAGAAAUAGAAGAAGACAAAAAACAACAACAAAGGCAAGUAAAUAAGAAGAUGCUAAUGGCAUGGUUGCCAUUGUUAUGCAAAGCUUGUAAUGGCACUGAUGUACCUGUUCUCAGCACUAGCGAAAGGGCAGAGCUAGAGAAAAUACUGGAAGAGCUCAUAGAGACAUUGGACCGGGAAGAGGAGCAGGAGCAAGUGCUGUCUUUGUGGCUACAACACUUCACUUAUUCCCCUUCUUCUGAUUGGCCUAAUCUCCAACCAGCUUAUGAUCGCUGGUGCACUAAUGCCCGUAAGCUCCUGAUUCUCCAGUGAAAAGCUUGGUUCAAAAUCCUGUGGUAAAAGGCUUCUCCACUUCACAAUGCUUCCUACUUUUCAUGGAUCAGCCAAGAAU